GAUGAAGAACGAAGCGAAAUGCGAUAAGUAAUGUGAAUUGCAGAAUUCAGUGAAUCAUCGAAUCUUUGAACGCACCUUGCGCCCUUUGGCAUUCCGAAGGGCAUGCCUGUUUGAGUAUCAUGAACACCUCAACUCUUCAUGGAUUUCCAUGAUGAGCUUGGACUUUGGGGGUCUUGCUGGCCUGCGGUCGGCUCCUCUCAAAUGAAUCAGCUUACCAGUGUUUGGUGGGCAUCACAGGUGUGAUAACUAUCUGCGCUUGUGGUUUUCCACCAAGUAACCUUCAGCAGUGGAGGUUCACUGGAGCUCACAGACGUCUCUCCUCAGUGAGGACAGCCCUUUGAAUGUUUGAUCUCAAAUCAGGUAGGACUACCCGCUGAACUUAAGCAUAUCAAUAAGCGGAGGA
Molecule: unclassified non-coding RNA, 403 nt
Filed under: soil metagenome
Description: partial contains 5.8S ribosomal RNA, internal transcribed spacer 2, and large subunit ribosomal RNA
Rfam family: 5.8S ribosomal RNA (bases 1-120)
Source: RNAcentral